UGGCUCUCGCAUCGAUGAAGAACGCAGCGAAAUGCGAUAAGUAAUGUGAAUUGCAGAAUUCAGUGAAUCAUCGAAUCUUUGAACGCAACUUGCACCCCUUGGCAUUCCGAGGGGUACGCCUGUUUGAGUGUCGUGAAUUCCUCCACUACUUCACCUUUGCGGGUGCUCGUAGAUGGGACUUGGGGGCUUUGCGGGUCCGAAAGGAUCCGCUCCCCUUGAAUGCAUUAGCGAGGUCUCUGACCGCGGCCUUGGUGUGAUAGUUAUCUACGCCGAAGGGUUCCGCUCUCUUUUGUAGACCCCGCUUCCAACCGCCCUCGGGCAAACCUUCACCUUUGAAAUUGACCUCAAAUCAGGCGGGACUACCCGCUGA
Molecule: unclassified non-coding RNA, 370 nt
Filed under: uncultured fungus
Lineage: Eukaryota; Fungi
Description: partial contains 5.8S ribosomal RNA and internal transcribed spacer 2
Rfam family: 5.8S ribosomal RNA (bases 1-133)
Source: RNAcentral